GUAGGUGGCAAGCGCUGUCCGGAAUUAUUGGGCGUAAAGCGCGCGCAGGCGGUUCUUUAAGUCUGAUGUGAAAGCCCACGGCUCAACCGUGGAGGGUCAUUGGAAACUGGGGGACUUGAGUACAGAAGAGGAAAGCGGAAUUCCAAGUGUAGCGGUGAAAUGCGUAGAGAUUUGGAGGAACACCAGUGGCGAAGGCGGCUUUCUGGUCUGUAACUGACGCUGAGGCGCGAAAGCGUGGGGAGCAAACAGGGAUUAGAUACCCUGGUAGUCCACGCCGUAAACGAUGAGUGCUAAGUGUUAGGGGGUUUCCGCCCCCUUAGUGCUGCAGCUAACGCAUUAAGCACUCCGCCUGGGGAUACGGCCGCAAGGCUG
This 372-nucleotide ribosomal RNA is filed under the name uncultured organism. Its description in RNAcentral is "partial 16S ribosomal RNA". It matches the Rfam family "Bacterial small subunit ribosomal RNA", at positions 527 to 896 of the family's 1533-position model. The record is from RNAcentral.